GAUUCCAGUCUUGUCUGCAAAUCUCAAUACGAUGCAACAUGUGUCUAUGAUCAAAGAAUAGGCUCUUGACAAGAGCAUUGAAUAGAUGAAUGGUUGAUUCACAAACAUAAGACUUGUCAUAGGAACUGUGUUAGUACCUAUCUUCUUUUUUUUCUGUUAAAUAAACAGAUAUUGUCUUUUAGGCACAGCAUUAAUUGAUUAGAGGAUAGUAAAGGGUGAUGAAGCAGAAACAUUUAUUGUAUUUGGACAUGGCAAUAACACAAGAGACAUUAAAGGGCCACCAAGAUGUAUGAUUGGAUAUUUGUAUAGUGUAUCCUUUUGUGUUGUGUUGUCUUAUGUGUCACCAUACAUUACAAUGUAGGUUUGUGUUUUUGGUAAAUCAUUUUUUAUGUUUUUGGUACUUAUCUGAAAUAGAAUAUCCUCUUUUAGAUGAUUGGAUAUUUGUAUAGUGUAUCCUUUUGUGUUGUGUUGUCUUAUGUGUCACCAUACAAUGUAGGUUUGUGUUUUGGUAAAUAAUUUUUUAUGUUUUUGGUACUUAUCUGAAAUAGGAUAUCCUCUUUUAGAUAUGGUUAUCUAGCAUUCUAGCCUGCAAUGGGUUCCGUUCCCUGAUCCUUUUGCUGUCAAAGUUUCUCGAUAAAAGUGGGAUAGUAAUCAUUUCUUUCUAGCGGCUGUGUUUGUGAUUGUGUUUGUGCCUGAGACUCAGGGCCUAACGUUUUCUGAAGUUGAGCAGAUUUGGAAAGAGAGGGCGUGGGGAAAGAACAGUGAUUGGGGGAGUAGCAGCGAGAGCAAUGACAUGGAUGGGUUGCUUGAGCAGGGAUCUCAGUCAUAAGGAUCUUGAGUGGCUCAUGCUCAUACGUUGUAUUGUAUCACAGAGUAAACCAAGAUUGGUUCCGGUUCCGGUUCAGGUCAGUGAUAUCACAGGAGUAAACCAAGAUGUGUUAAGAACUGUGUUUAUUGAUAAUAAAUAACGUUUAGGGUCCACUUUGGAUUCCAGUCUUGUCUGCAAAUCUCAAUACGAUGCAACAUGUGUCUAUGAUCAAAGAAUAGGCUCUUGACAAGAGCAUUGAAUAGAUGAAUGGUUGAUUCACAAACAUAAGACUUGUCAUAGGAACUGUGUUAGUACCUAUCUUCUUUUUUUUCUGUUAAAUAAACAGAUAUUGUCUUUUAGGCACAGCAUUAAUUGAUUAGAGGAUAGUAAAGGGUGAUGAAGCAGAAACAUUUAUUGUAUUUGGACAUGGCAAUAACACAAGAGACAUUAAAGGGCCACC
This 1268-nucleotide long non-coding RNA is filed under the name Brassica napus (rape). RNAcentral's name for it is "long non-coding RNA (BNAP_LNC016666)". The record is from RNAcentral. Lineage: Eukaryota; Viridiplantae; Streptophyta; Magnoliopsida; Brassicales; Brassicaceae.